GAACUGGUGAGUAACACGUGGGAAACCUGCCCUUAAGCGGGGGAUAACACCUGGAAACAGAUGCUAAUACCGCAUAACAACUUGGACCGCAUGGUCCAAGUUUGAAAGAUGGCUUCGGCUAUCACUUUUGGAUGGUCCCGCGGCGUAUUAGCUAGAUGGUGGGGUAACGGCUCACCAUGGCAAUGAUACGUAGCCGACCUGAGAGGGUAAUCGGCCACAUUGGGACUGAGACACGGCCCAAACUCCUACGGGAGGCAGCAGUAGGGAAUCUUCCACAAUGGACGAAAGUCUAAUGGAGCAACGCCGCGUGAGUGAAGAAGGGUUUCGGCUCGUAAAACUCUGUUGUUAAAGAAGAACAUAUCUGAGAGUAACUGUUCAGGUAUUGACGGUAUUUAACCAGAAAGCCACGGCUAACUACGUGCCAGCAGCCGCGGUAAUACGUAGGUGGCAAGCGUUGUCCGGAUUUAUUGGGCGUAAAGCGAGCGCAGGCGGUUUUUUAAGUCUGAUGUGAAAGCCUUCGGCUCAACCGAAGAAGUGCAUCGGAAACUGGGAAACUUGAGUGCAGAAGAGGACAGUGGAACUCCAUGUGUAGCGGUGAAAUGCGUAGAUAUAUGGAAGAACACCAGUGGCGAAGGCGGCUGUCUGGUCUGUAACUGACGCUGAGGCUCGAAAGUAUGGGUAGCAAACAGGAUUAGAUACCCUGGUAGUCCAUACCGUAAACGAUGAAUGCUAAGUGUUGGAGGGUUUCCGCCCUUCAGUGCUGCA
This 765-nucleotide ribosomal RNA is filed under the name uncultured bacterium. Its description in RNAcentral is "bacterial SSU rRNA". It matches the Rfam family "Bacterial small subunit ribosomal RNA", at positions 100 to 850 of the family's 1533-position model. The record is from RNAcentral.